CCUACGGGUGGCAGCCGUGAGGAAUAUUGGUCAAUGGGCGCGAGCCUGACCCAGCCAAGUAGCGUGAAGGAUGACUGCCCUACGGGUUGUAACCUUCUUUUAUAAAGGAAUAAAGUGAGGCACGUGUGCCUUUUUGUAUGUACUUUAUGAAUAAGAAUCGGCUAACUCCGUGCCAGCAGCCGCGGUACUACGGAGGAGACGAGCGUUAUCCGGAUUUAAUGGGUUUAAAGGGAGCGUAGAUGGGUUGUUAAGUCAGUUGUGAAAGUUUGCGGCGCAACAGUAAAAUUGCAAUUGAUACUGGCAGUCUUGAGUACAGUUGAGGUAGGCGUAAUUCGUGGUGUAGCGGUGAAAUGCUUAGAUAUCACGAAGAACUCCGAUUGCGAAGGCAGCUUACUAAACUGCCACUGACAUUGAUGCUCGAAAGUGUGGGUAUCAAACAGGAUUAGAUACCCUUGUAGUC
RNAcentral lists this ribosomal RNA (460 nucleotides) under uncultured bacterium. RNAcentral describes it as "partial 16S ribosomal RNA". It matches the Rfam family "Bacterial small subunit ribosomal RNA", at positions 338 to 795 of the family's 1533-position model. The record is from RNAcentral.